UCAGUUCGGAUUGUAGGCUGAAAUCGCCUACAUGAAGCUGGAGUUACUAGUAAUCGCAGAUCAGAAUGCUGCGGUGAAUGCGUUCCCGGGUCUUGUACACACCGCCCGUCACACCACGGAAGUUGGGGGCGCCCGAAGCCACUUAGCUAACCCUUUUGGGAAGCGAGUGUCGAAGGUGAAAUCAAUAACUGGGGUGAAGUCGUAACAAGGUAGC
This 214-nucleotide ribosomal RNA is filed under the name uncultured bacterium. RNAcentral's name for it is "partial 16S ribosomal RNA". It matches the Rfam family "Bacterial small subunit ribosomal RNA", at positions 1288 to 1500 of the family's 1533-position model. The record is from RNAcentral.